RNAcentral lists this ribosomal RNA (1200 nucleotides) under Triticum aestivum (bread wheat). RNAcentral's name for it is "partial small subunit ribosomal RNA". The record is from RNAcentral. Lineage: Eukaryota; Viridiplantae; Streptophyta; Magnoliopsida; Poales; Poaceae.
AUGGCGACCACCGACAUCCGCCUCUCCAUCGGGCACCAGACCCGCUUCGCCCUCCGCCUCGCCUCCGCCAUCUCCUCGCCCUCCCACGCCAAGGGAUCCGCCGGCAACGCCGCCUUCUCCCCGCUCUCGCUCCACGUCGCGCUCAGCCUCGUCGCGGCGGGCGCCGGCGGCGCCACCCGCGACCAGCUCGCCGCCGCGCUUGGGUCCGCGGAGAAAGGCGAGGCCGAGGGCCUCCACGCGCUCGCCGAGCAGGUGGUUCAGGUCGUGCUCGCCGACGCGUCGGGCGCCGGCGGCCCGCGCGUCGCCUUCGCCAACGGCGUCUUCGUCGACGCGUCGCUCAAGCUCAAGCCUUCCUUCAAGGAUCUCACUGUGGGCAAGUACAAGGCCGAGACACAGUCCGUGGACUUCCAAACUAAGGCUGCUGAAGUUGCUGGUCAAGUGAACUCCUGGGUAGAGAAAAUCACAACAGGUCUCAUCAAAGAGAUCCUCCCUGCAGGAUCUGUUGAUAACACCACUAGACUGGUUCUUGGUAAUGCCCUUUAUUUCAAAGGAGCUUGGACUGAGAAGUUUGAUGCAUCUAAGACAAAAGACGAGAAGUUCCACCUCCUUGAUGGGAGCUCAGUUCAAACACCGUUCAUGUCCAGUACAAAGAAGCAAUAUAUUUCGUCUUCUGACAGCUUGAAGGUACUGAAGCUUCCUUACCAGCAAGGCGAGGACAAGAGGCAGUUCUCCAUGUACAUUCUUCUUCCAGAAGCACAGGAUGGUCUCUGGAACUUGGCCAACAAGUUGAGCACCGAACCAGAGUUCUUGGAAAACCAUAUCCCAAUGCAGAAGGUUCCUGUCGGGCAGUUCAAGCUUCCGAAGUUCAAGAUAUCAUUUGGAUUUGAAGCGUCUGAUAUGCUCAAAGGUUUGGGUCUCCAGCUGCCGUUCAGCGCAGAGGCAGAUCUUUCGGAGAUGGUGGAUUCACCGGCGGGCUUAUACGUCUCAUCCGUUUUCCACAAGUCGUUUGUCGAGGUGAACGAAGAAGGCACCGAGGCUGCCGCUGCAACUGCUUCAGUGGUCACACUUAGGUCACUGCCAGUGGAGCCCGUGAAGGUGGAUUUCGUCGCGGAUCACCCUUUCCUCUUCCUUAUCCGAGAAGACCUCACAGGGGUGGUGCUAUUCGUCGGCCAUGUGUUCAAUCCCUUGGUGUCUGCAUGA